GUUCCUCACAGAUUUGAACUGCUGUGCAGGCAGACCAUGAUGGUGCAGACGCGGAAAAGACCAGAAAGAGAGAUUUUCUUUCACUCACAAAGCGGAGCAGACGGGGAAGUUGGUUUUAACAAGGAAAACACGGAAAAUGGAAACUGCAGAGAACCACAUCCUGUCGUCCUGAAAAAAAGAAAGAAACUACUUUUUCUCCAAGGAGGUCCAAACGCCAUUGGCACAGACUUUGUUCAGUGAUCAGUAUGAUACAUUCAGCCAGGGCCGUCCUUAGGGGGUGCAACUGAUGCGGUCGCACCGGACUCCACACUUGAGGGGUAAACGGACUGAAUGAGAGCA
Molecule: long non-coding RNA, 339 nt
Organism: Carassius carassius (crucian carp)
Lineage: Eukaryota; Metazoa; Chordata; Actinopteri; Cypriniformes; Cyprinidae
Exons: 3
Source: RefSeq, a predicted model, not a curated record